GCAGUCGAACGGAGAUUACAGGCGGAAGUUUUCGGAUGGAAGCUUGUAAACUUAGUGGCGGACGGGUGAGUAACACGUGAGCAACCUGCCUAUCAGAGGGGGAUAACGAUUGGAAACGAUCGCUAAUACCGCAUGACAUAGCGGAACCGCAUGGUUUUGUUAUCAAAGAUUUUAUCGCUGAUAGAUGGGCUCGCGUCCGAUUAGAUAGUUGGUGGGGUAACGGCCUACCAAGUCGACGAUCGGUAGCCGGACUGAGAGGUCGAACGGCCACAUUGGGACUGAGACACGGCCCAGACUCCUACGGGAGGCAGCAGUGGGGGAUAUUGCACAAUGGGGGAAACCCUGAUGCAGCGACGCCGCGUGAGGGAAGACGGUCCUCUGGAUUGUAAACCUNUGUCUUCGGGGACGAAACGAGACGGUACCCGAGGAGGAAGCCACGGCUAACUACGUGCCAGCAGCCGCGGUAAUACGUAGGUGGCAAGCGUUGUCCGGAAUUACUGGGUGUAAAGGGAGCGUAGGCGGGCAGGCAAGUCAGGCGUGAAAUAUAUCGGCUCAACCGGUAACGGCGCUUGAAACUGCAGGUCUUGAGUGAAGUAGAGGUUGGCGGAAUUCCUAGUGUAGCGGUGAAAUGCGUAGAUAUUAGGAGGAACACCAGUGGCGAAGGCGGCCCAACUG
Molecule: ribosomal RNA, 675 nt
Filed under: uncultured bacterium
Lineage: Bacteria
Description: bacterial SSU rRNA
Rfam family: Bacterial small subunit ribosomal RNA
Source: RNAcentral